Molecule: ribosomal RNA, 390 nt
Filed under: uncultured bacterium
Lineage: Bacteria
Description: bacterial SSU rRNA
Rfam family: Bacterial small subunit ribosomal RNA
Source: RNAcentral
AACGAACGCUGGCGGCAGGCCUAACACAUGCAAGUCGAGCGAGGACUUCGGUCCUAGCGGCGGACGGGUGAGUAACGCGUGGGAACGUGCCCUUUGGUACGGAAUAGCCCCGGGAAACUGGGAGUAAUACCGUAUGGUGUCUUCGGACUAAAGAUUUAUCGCCAAAGGAUCGGCCCGCGUUGGAUUAGGUAGUUGGUGGGGUAAUGGCCUACCAAGCGACGAUCCAUAGCUGGUUUGAGAGGAUGAUCAGCCACACUGGGACGUGAGACACGGCCCGAGACUCCUACGGGAGGGCAGCAGUGGGGGAAUCUUAGACAAUGGGGGCGAACCCUCGAUCUAGCCAUGCCGCGUGAGUGAUGAAGGCCCUAGGGUUGUAAAGCUCUUUCAGCU